This is a non-coding RNA of Pelobates cultripes (western spadefoot toad), 313 nucleotides long. NCBI's taxonomy places the organism in Eukaryota, Metazoa, Chordata, Amphibia, Anura, Pelobatidae. The record is from the annotation of a GenBank genome assembly.
GUUGUCUGUCAUUUAUUUCCAUGGCCUUGUGAACUCAUGGCAUCGUAUAUUGAGAGCUUAGUCAGCAGAAACAAAAAUAGAGAUAUUGAUUUAUCACUCUAAGUACAGUGUUUCAGAUCAGUCCAAUACCUGAGGUAAUUUUGUAAAUAGAAAGUUGUGCGCAAUUAGAAUUUAAAGCAAGAUUUAGCAUUCCGUGAAAAAAAACCUCCUUUGAUUUAUUUGCCGUUCAUCAAACCAGAAUGUCCACUACGUUUUGCCCGAUCAAGCUUUUUUAUUGCUCCUGUUUGCAUUUAUUGUUAUGCAGUUAUCUGGA